RNAcentral lists this ribosomal RNA (443 nucleotides) under uncultured Clostridium sp. RNAcentral describes it as "bacterial SSU rRNA". It matches the Rfam family "Bacterial small subunit ribosomal RNA", at positions 338 to 795 of the family's 1533-position model. The record is from RNAcentral. Lineage: Bacteria; Bacillati; Bacillota; Clostridia; Eubacteriales; Clostridiaceae.
CCUACGGGAGGCAGCAGUGGGGAAUAUUGCGCAAUGGGGGGAACCCUGACGCAGCAACGCCGCGUGAAGGAAGAAGGUCUUCGGAUUGUAAACUUCUUUGAUGAGGGACGAAGUAAGUGACGGUACCUCAAAAACAAGCCACGGCUAACUACGUGCCAGCAGCCGCGGUAAUACGUAGGUGGCGAGCGUUGUCCGGAAUUACUGGGUGUAAAGGGCGUGUAGGCGGGGAUGCAAGUCAGAUGUGAAAUACCGAGGCUUAACCUCGGGGCUGCAUCUGAAACUGUGUUUCUUGAGUGUCGGAGAGGAAAGCGGAAUUCCUGGUGUAGCGGUGAAAUGCGUAGAGAUCAGGAGGAACACCGGUGGCGAAGGCGGCUUUCUGGACGACAACUGACGCUGAGGCGCGAAAGCGUGGGGAGCAAACAGGAUUAGAUACCCUUGUAGUC